CCUACGGGGGACAGCAGUGAGGACUAUUGGUCAAUGGGCGCGAGCCUGAACCAGCCAAGUCGCGUGAGGGAAGACGGUCCUAUGGAUUGUAAACCUCUUUUGUCGGGGAGCAAAAGACGCCACGCGUGGCGUUCCGAGAGUACCCGAAGAAAAAGCAUCGGCUAACUCCGUGCCAGCAGCCGCGGUAAUACGGAGGAUGCGCGCGUUAUCCGGUGUUAUGGGGUUUAAAGGGUGCGCAGGCGGACGAUCAAGUCAGCGGUAAAAUUGAGAGGCUCAACCUCUUCGAGCCGUUGAAACUGGUUUUCUUGAGUGAGCGAGAAGGAUGCGGAAUGCGUGGUGUAGCGGUGAAAUGCAUAGAUAGCACGCAGAACUCCGAUUGCGAAGGCAGCAUACCGGCGCUCAACUGACGCUCAUGCACGAAAGUGUGGGUAUCGAACAGGAUUAGAUACCCCUGUAGU
RNAcentral lists this ribosomal RNA (458 nucleotides) under uncultured bacterium. RNAcentral's name for it is "partial 16S ribosomal RNA". It matches the Rfam family "Bacterial small subunit ribosomal RNA", at positions 338 to 794 of the family's 1533-position model. The record is from RNAcentral.